ACUCCAGUCGUCUUUCUAGUUCACAUGACAGAGAGAGGUCAAAACACCAACGAGGACCCCCGGGACUGGCAGGAAGAACGGAUGACGCUGGGGAAAGGCCAUGAUUCCCGAGGAAGAAGGGAGACGAGAAUGGCCCAAAAUGGAACCAAGUGUGCCAGAAAAGACGAGACACCUCUGGAGACUUCUGGGGAAAUUCGUGGUAAAAUGUCAGUGUUAGAAAACAGUAGCUGUCACUACCACUGUGGAAUGAAAGUGAUGAGAAACCAUUAAAACCCUCAUUUAAUCCACUGAGAAA
RNAcentral lists this long non-coding RNA (295 nucleotides) under Mus pahari (shrew mouse). RNAcentral's name for it is "lncRNA (MGP_PahariEiJ_G0002541.1)". The record is from RNAcentral. Lineage: Eukaryota; Metazoa; Chordata; Mammalia; Rodentia; Muridae.